Molecule: transfer RNA, 90 nt
Filed under: Flueggea virosa
Lineage: Eukaryota; Viridiplantae; Streptophyta; Magnoliopsida; Malpighiales; Phyllanthaceae
Also listed under: 2 other names
Description: tRNA-Ser
Rfam family: tRNA
About the family: Transfer RNA (tRNA) molecules are approximately 80 nucleotides in length.
Source: RNAcentral
GGAGAGAUGGCCGAGUGGUUGAUGGCUCCGGUCUUGAAAACCGGUAUAGUUCUUUUUGAACUAUCGAGGGUUCGAAUCCCUCUCUCUCCU